Long non-coding RNA from Oncorhynchus mykiss (rainbow trout), 1785 nucleotides. The record is from Ensembl. NCBI's taxonomy places the organism in Eukaryota, Metazoa, Chordata, Actinopteri, Salmoniformes, Salmonidae.
AUGGCGCCGACAGAGAUGGCCGCCUCGCUUCACGUUCCUAGGAAACUAUGCAGUUUUUUGUUUUUUUACGUGUUAUUUCUUACAUUAGGACCCCAGGUCAUCUUAGGUUUCAUUACAUACAGUCGAGAAGAACUACUGAAUAUAAGAUCAGCGUCAACUCACCAUCAGUACAACCAAGAAUAUGAUUUUCUCGAAGCGGAUCCUGUGUUCUGCCUUUCAACCAGGACAACGGAAUGGAUCCCAGCCUGCGACCCAAAACAACGCCGUCGUAGAAGAGGGAAACGAGGCGGUCUUCUGGUCAGACUCCGGAGACGGGCACAUCGUGCACCACUCCCUAGCAUUCUUCUCGCCAAUGUCCAGUCUCUUGACAACAAGGUUGAUGAAAUCCGAGCAAGGGUAGCAUUCCAGAGGGACAUCAGAGACUGUAACGUUCUUUGCUUCACGGAAACAUGGCUCACUGGAGAGACGCUAUCGGAGGCGGUGCAGCCAGCGGGUUUCUCCACGCAUCGCGCCGACAGAAACAAACAUCUUUCUGGUAAGAAGAGGGGCGGGGGCGUAUGCCUUAUGGCUAACGAGACGUGGUGUGAUCACAGAAACAUACAGGAACUCAAAUCCUUCUGUUCACCUGAUUUAGAAUUCCUCACAAUCAAAUGUCGACCGCAUUAUCUACCAAGAGAAUUCUCUUCGAUUAUAAUCACAGCCGUAUAUAUCCCCCCCCAAGCAGACACAUCGAUGGCUCUGAACAAACUUUAUUUGACUCUUUGCAAACUGGAAUCCAUACAUCCUUUGGCUGCAUUCAUUGUAGCUGGGGAUUUUAACAAGGCUAAUCUGAAAACAAGACUCCCUAAAUUGUAUCAGCAUAUCGAUUGCGCAACCAGGGCUGGAAAAACCUUGGAUCAUUGUUAUUCUAACUUCCGCGACACAUAUAAGGCCCUGCCCCGCCAUCCUUUCGGAAAAGCUGACCACGACUCCAUUUUGCUGAUCCCUGCCUACAGACAGAAACUAAAACAAGAAGCUCCCACGCUGAGGUCUGUCCAACGCUGGUCCGACCAAGCUGAUUCCACACUCCAAGACUGCUUCCAUCACGUGGACUGGGAUAUGUUUCGUAUUGCGUCAGAUAACAACAUUGACGAAUACGCUGAUUCGGUGUGCGAGUUCAUUAGAACGUGCGUUGAAGAUGUCGUUCCCAUAGCAACGAUUAAAACAUUCCCUAACCAGAAACCGUGGAUUGAUGGCAGCAUUCGCGUGAAACUGAAAGCGCGAACCACUGCUUUUAGUCAGGGCAAGGUGACUGGUAGCAUGACCGAAUACAAACAGUGCAGCUAUUCCCUCCGCAAGGCUAUCAAACAAGCUAAGCGUCAGUAUAGAGACAAAGUAGAAUCUCAAUUCAACGGCUCAGACACAAGAGGUAUGUGGCAGGGUCUACAGUCAAUCACGGACUACAAGAAGAAAACCAGCCCAGUCACGGACCAGGAUGUCUUGCUCCCAGGCAGACUAAAUAACUUUUUUGCCCGCUUUGAGGACAAUACAGUGCCACUGACACGGCCUGCAACGAAAACAUGCGGACUCUCCUUCACUGCAGCCGAGGUGAGUAAAACAUUUAAACGUGUUAACCCUCGCAAGGCUGCAGGCCCAGACGGCAUCCCCAGCCGCGCCCUCAGAGCAUGCGCAGACCAGCUGGCGGUGUGUUUACGGACAUAUUCAAUCAAUCCCUAUACUAGUCUGCUGUUCCCACAUGCUUCAAGAGGGCCACCAUUGUUCCUGUUCCCAAGAAAGCUGAGGUAA